This 466-nucleotide ribosomal RNA is filed under the name uncultured bacterium. Its description in RNAcentral is "partial 16S ribosomal RNA". It matches the Rfam family "Bacterial small subunit ribosomal RNA", at positions 28 to 505 of the family's 1533-position model. The record is from RNAcentral.
GACGAACGCUGGCGGCGUGCUUAACACAUGCAAGUCGAACGGUGAUGCUCCAGCUUGCUGGAGUGGAUCAGUGGCGAACGGGUGAGUAACACGUGAGCAACCUGCCCCAGACUCUGGAAUAAGCGCUGGAAACGGCGUCUAAUACUGGAUACGAAACUGGCCCGCAUGGGCAUGGUUUGGAAAGUUUUUCGGUUUGGGAUGGGCUCGCGGCCUAUCAGCUUGUUGGUGAGGUAAUGGCUCACCAAGGCGACGACGGGUAGCCGGCCUGAGAGGGCGACCGGCCACACUGGGACUGAGACACGGCCCAGACUCCUACGGGAGGCAGCAGUGGGGAAUAUUGCACAAUGGGCGAAAGCCUGAUGCAGCGACGCCGCGUGAGGGAUGACGGCCUUCGGGUUGUAAACCGCUUUCGCCUGUGACGAAGCGUGAGUGACGGUAAGGGGUAAAGAAGCACCGGCUAACUACG